Molecule: transfer RNA, 85 nt
Filed under: Treponema sp.
Lineage: Bacteria; Pseudomonadati; Spirochaetota; Spirochaetia; Treponematales; Treponemataceae
Description: tRNA-Arg
Source: RNAcentral
GGAACCGUACAGGCCGGGCGGCGGUAUGCCUUUUCCCCUCUCCGAAAAAGGCGCCACCCCGCGGGUUCAAUUCCCGCCGGUUCCA